This 498-nucleotide ribosomal RNA is filed under the name uncultured bacterium. Its description in RNAcentral is "partial 16S ribosomal RNA". It matches the Rfam family "Bacterial small subunit ribosomal RNA", at positions 28 to 523 of the family's 1533-position model. The record is from RNAcentral.
GAUGAACGCUAGCGGCAGGCCUAAUACAUGCAAGUCGAACGAUAGAAGAGGGCUUGCUCUCUUCGAAAGUGGCGCACGGGUGCGUAACGCGUAUGCAUCCUACCUUAAUCAGGGGGAUAGCCCGAAGAAAUUCGGAUUAACACCGCAUAAAAUCACAGUACAGCAUUGUACAAUGAUCAAAUAUUUAUAGGAUUAAGAUGGGCAUGCGGGACAUUAGCUAGUUGGCGGGGUAACGGCCCACCAAGGCGACGAUGUCUAGGGGAUCUGAGAGGAUGACCCCCCACACUGGUACUGAGACACGGACCAGACUCCUACGGGAGGCAGCAGUAAGGAAUAUUGGUCAAUGGAGGCAACUCUGAACCAGCCAUGCCGCGUGCAGGAAGACAGCCCUCUGGGUCGUAAACUGCUUUUAUUCGGGAAUAAACCUACUUACGUGUAAGUAGCUGAAUGUACCGAAGGAAUAAGGAUCGGCUAACUCCGUGCCAGCCGCCGCAGUAA